CACCUGAAUGGGUCAGGGGGUGCUGUGAGGAGGACCUGAGGCUGCUCCUUCUCUCCAGUUCCCUCCUUUUUCCACUCUGUCUUGACCUCCAAGGACAAGGACAAAGAGGAAGGGGCACAUGCCUAUGGCCAUGGAUACAGAGAAAGAAACUGAGGUCAAGAAAGGUUAACUAACUGGUCCAAGGCCACAUGGCUAUAAUCACACAACAGGGAUCUGACACCAGUCUGCUUGACUCUAGGCAUCUGCUCUUGACCACAAUAGGGAUAGAUAUGGACAGACAUUACUGGUGAUGUAAAGGAGACUGGAACAAGAGGAAGAAGCGGGGGACAGCCAGGUUCCUAGAGCGUAACUGCACCCAGAGGGAAUGGGACUGAUGGGAGUCCUUGAGAUCACCUCGUGCAGCCGCAACACAGGAAACCCUCACCUUACUGCCCUGGGCCCCAGCAGGAUCCUCCCCAACCCAGAGGUUCAUCUGUGGGCUUAGAGGUGAAGAUUGAUGGGGGCCUGGGUACGACAUCUGCCAGCCUUCCAACAGGUCUGGAAGAGGGAGAGGGAUUCUGCUCUAAGGUUGAU
Rhinopithecus roxellana (golden snub-nosed monkey) is the source of this 573-nucleotide long non-coding RNA. RefSeq lists it as uncharacterized. The transcript has 3 exons. Lineage: Eukaryota; Metazoa; Chordata; Mammalia; Primates; Cercopithecidae. The record is from RefSeq and is a predicted model, not a curated record.